UGGGGAAUAUUGCACAAUGGGCGCAAGCCUGAUGCAGCCAUGCCGCGUGUAUGAAGAAGGCCUUCGGGUUGUAAAGUACUUUCAGCGAGGAGGAAGGCGGUAAGGUUAAUAACCUUAUCGAUUGACGUUACUCGCAGAAGAAGCACCGGCUAACUCCGUGCCAGCAGCCGCGGUAAUACGGAGGGUGCAAGCGUUAAUCGGAAUUACUGGGCGUAAAGCGCACGCAGGCGGUCUGUCAAGUCGGAUGUGAAAUCCCCGGGCUCAACCUGGGAACUGCAUCCGAAACUGGCAGGCUUGAGUCUUGUAGAGGGGGGUAGAAUUCCAGGUGUAGCGGUGAAAUGCGUAGAGAUCUGGAGGAAUACCGGUGGCGAAGGCGGCCCCCUGGACAAAGACUGACGCUCAGGUGCGAAAGCGUGGGGAGCAAACA
This 427-nucleotide ribosomal RNA is filed under the name uncultured bacterium. RNAcentral's name for it is "partial 16S ribosomal RNA". It matches the Rfam family "Bacterial small subunit ribosomal RNA", at positions 355 to 774 of the family's 1533-position model. The record is from RNAcentral.